This 253-nucleotide ribosomal RNA is filed under the name uncultured bacterium. Its description in RNAcentral is "partial 16S ribosomal RNA". It matches the Rfam family "Bacterial small subunit ribosomal RNA", at positions 524 to 776 of the family's 1533-position model. The record is from RNAcentral.
UACGUAGGGUCCGAGCGUUGUCCGGAAUUAUUGGGCGUAAAGAGCUCGUAGGCGGUUUGUCGCGUCUGCUGUGAAAUCCCGAGGCUCAACCUCGGGUCUGCAGUGGGUACGGGCAGACUGGAGUGCGGUAGGGGAGAAUGGAAUUCCUGGUGUAGCGGUGGAAUGCGCAGAUAUCAGGAGGAACACCGAUGGCGAAGGCAGUUUUCUGGGCCGUAACUGACGCUGAGGUACGAAAGCUAGGGUAGCGAACGGG